GUCUUUAUGACAGUACCAUUUAAAAGUUCAAACAAACCCCUGGCUCCUGUGACCAAAUGUUUUUUGCCCGUUUGCUUUUGCCUCAGAAGACCCAUACUGAUGAUCCUGAUUCAGAUAAAAAAUUAAAAAAUACAGUUGUAUCCCAAUAUGUGUCUUUAUUACAGUACCAUUAAAAGUUCAAACAAACCCCUGGUUCCUGUGACCAAAUGUUUUUUGCCCGUUUGCUUUUGGCUCAGAAGACCCAUACUGAUGAUCCUGAUUCAGAUAAAAAA
Long non-coding RNA from Sebastes umbrosus (honeycomb rockfish), 272 nucleotides. RefSeq lists it as uncharacterized. The record is from RefSeq and is a predicted model, not a curated record. Lineage: Eukaryota; Metazoa; Chordata; Actinopteri; Perciformes; Sebastidae. The transcript has 2 exons.